RNAcentral lists this non-coding RNA (100 nucleotides) under Carlito syrichta (Philippine tarsier). The record is from RNAcentral. Lineage: Eukaryota; Metazoa; Chordata; Mammalia; Primates; Tarsiidae.
GGCUGGUUGGAUAGCAGUUGGUGAUCAGAACUUAUUAGCACUGGUGUCACUAAAUUAAUUUGGUAUACAACCCCCCACUGCUAAAUUUGAUUGGUUUUAA